RNAcentral lists this non-coding RNA (97 nucleotides) under Prevotella sp. Its description in RNAcentral is "TPP sequence". It matches the Rfam family "TPP riboswitch aptamer (THI element)". From Rfam's summary of the family: Vitamin B(1) in its active form thiamin pyrophosphate (TPP) is an essential coenzyme that is synthesised by coupling of pyrimidine and thiazole moieties in bacteria. The previously detected thiamin-regulatory element, thi box was extended, resulting in a new, highly conserved RNA secondary structure, the THI element, which is widely distributed in eubacteria and also occurs in some archaea. Analysis of operon structures identified a large number of new candidate thiamin-regulated genes, mostly transporters, in various prokaryotic organisms. Lineage: Bacteria; Pseudomonadati; Bacteroidota; Bacteroidia; Bacteroidales; Prevotellaceae. The record is from RNAcentral.
CGGUAGAUUAAGGGGUGCCUGAUAAAUUGCAGGCUGAGAUUAAACCCUGGAACCUGAUACGGGUAAUUCCGGCGUAGGGAUAAACGGCCGAACUAAU